This 406-nucleotide ribosomal RNA is filed under the name uncultured bacterium. Its description in RNAcentral is "bacterial SSU rRNA". It matches the Rfam family "Bacterial small subunit ribosomal RNA", at positions 355 to 776 of the family's 1533-position model. The record is from RNAcentral.
UGAGGAAUCUUCCACAAUGGGCGAAAGCCUGAUGGAGCAACGCCGCGUGCAGGAUGAAGGCCUUCGGGUCGUAAACUGCUUUUAUAAGUGAAGAAUAUGACGGUAACUUAUGAAUAAGCACCGGCUAACUACGUGCCAGCAGCCGCGGUCAUACGUAGGGUGCAAGCAUUAUCCGGAGUGACUGGGCGUAAAGAGUUGCGUAGGUGGCUAAGUUAGCGAAUAGUGAAAUCUGGUGGCUCAACCACACAGACUAUUAUUCGAACUGCUUGGCUCGAGAGUAGCAGAGGUAACUGGAAUUUCUAGUGUAGGAGUGAAAUCCGUAGAUAUUAGAAGGAACACCAAUGGCGUAGGCAGGUUACUAGGCUAUUUCUGACACUGAGGCACGAAAGCGUGGGGAGCGAACCGG